RNAcentral lists this ribosomal RNA (460 nucleotides) under uncultured bacterium. RNAcentral's name for it is "partial 16S ribosomal RNA". It matches the Rfam family "Bacterial small subunit ribosomal RNA", at positions 338 to 795 of the family's 1533-position model. The record is from RNAcentral.
CCUACGGGAGGCAGCAGUGAGGAAUAUUGGUCAAUGGCCGUAAGGCUGAACCAGCCAAGUCGCGUGAAGGAAGAAGGAUCUAUGGUUUGUAAACUUCUUUUAUAGGGGAAUAAAGGUAUCCACGUGUGGAUAUUUGCAUGUACCCUAUGAAUAAGCAUCGGCUAACUCCGUGCCAGCAGCCGCGGUAAUACGGAGGAUGCGAGCGUUAUCCGGAUUUAUUGGGUUUAAAGGGUGCGUAGGUUGUUUUUUAAGUCAGCGGUGAAAGUUUGUGGCUCAACCAUAAAAUUGCCGUUGAAACUGGAAGACGUGAGUGUGUUUGAGGUAGGCGGAAUGCGUGGUGUAGCGGUGAAAUGCAUAGAUAUCACGCAGAACUCCGAUUGCGAAGGCAGCUUACUAAGCCAUAACUGAUACUGAAGCACGAAAGCGUGGGGAUCAAACAGGAUUAGAUACCCCAGUAGUC